This 253-nucleotide ribosomal RNA is filed under the name uncultured bacterium. Its description in RNAcentral is "partial 16S ribosomal RNA". It matches the Rfam family "Bacterial small subunit ribosomal RNA", at positions 524 to 776 of the family's 1533-position model. The record is from RNAcentral.
UACGGAGGAUCCGAGCGUUAUCCGGAAUCAUUGGGUUUAAAGGGUCCGUAGGCGGGCCAUUAAGUCAGGGGUGAAAGUCUGCGGCUCAACCGUAGAAUUGCCUUUGAUACUGGUGGUCUUGAGUUAUGGUGAAGUAACUAGAAUAUGUGGUGUAGCGGUGAAAUGCAUAGAUAUCACAUAGAAUACCGAUUGCGAAGGCAGGUUACUAACCAUAUACUGACGCUGAUGGACGAAAGCGUGGGGAGCGAACGGG